UGGGGAAUCUUGCGCAAUGGGCGGAAGCCUGACGCAGCGACGCCGCGUGGGUGACGAAGGCCUUCGGGUCGUAAAGCCCUGUCAGCCGGGAAGAAGGUCUCUGUCGUACGGCGGCAGGGGCGAUGACGGUACCGGCGAAGGAAGCACCGGCUAACUCCGUGCCAGCAGCCGCGGUAAGACGGAGGGUGCAAGCGUUGUUCGGAAUCAUUGGGCGUACAGGGCGCGCAGGCGGCCGGGCGGGUCCGGUGUGAAAGCCCGGGGCUCAACCCCGGAGGUGCACUGGAAACUGUCUGGCUUGAGUCCGGGAAGGGCCAGUGGAAUUCCUGGUGUAGGGGUGAAAUCCGUAGAGAUCAGGAGGAACACCGGAGGCGAAAGCGACUGGCUGGACCGGGACUGACGCUGAGGCGCGAAAGCGCGGGCAGCGAACA
RNAcentral lists this ribosomal RNA (428 nucleotides) under uncultured bacterium. Its description in RNAcentral is "bacterial SSU rRNA". It matches the Rfam family "Bacterial small subunit ribosomal RNA", at positions 355 to 774 of the family's 1533-position model. The record is from RNAcentral.